AUGAUCCUGCGAACAAAUCAUCUAAAACUAUCCCUGAUGAUGAUUUCCAUCAAAUUUUGCUCUCGUCUCAAUAGGUAUUUAUUCCUUGAGAAAGGAGAAGAAUACUUUAAGAAAGAAGAAAGAAAAAGACAGAAAAUUCUCAUCACACAGAAGCAAAGGAGGCUAAUUAAAACAAAACAAAACAAACAAACAAGCAAAAAACCCACAACUCUUCCCAGAAGCCAAAGCUUGGACCUAUGGAGAACAAUGAAUCAAGAAUUCUUCUCAGUGGACAAAACCAGAGACAAACCAAGGAACAUGAUCUACUACAAACUAGAGGGAUCUGCAAUGUUUGUCUAGCUGAAUCUCCAUUAUCUAUGGACCAGUGAUUGAUUGCUGUCUGUAUCUCAAUAUUCUCUUUUCAAACACUAAUGCUUUUUUUUUUUUUUUGGUGGAUAUUUCACCAUUUUUUGAUGGGUGUGUGAGCCUGAGGAGUACCAUCAUUUAAAAUAAAGGUCAUGGAGUGCCUGGAUGGCUCA
This is a long non-coding RNA of Vulpes vulpes (red fox), 518 nucleotides long. The record is from Ensembl. NCBI's taxonomy places the organism in Eukaryota, Metazoa, Chordata, Mammalia, Carnivora, Canidae.